RNAcentral lists this long non-coding RNA (371 nucleotides) under Gossypium barbadense (sea-island cotton). RNAcentral describes it as "long non-coding RNA (GBAR_LNC007663)". The record is from RNAcentral. Lineage: Eukaryota; Viridiplantae; Streptophyta; Magnoliopsida; Malvales; Malvaceae.
ACAACUACUAUAGUUUUGUCAUCUGAAACCAUGGCCAAAGAAAUCCUCCAAACACAGGAUGCAAUAUCUUGUAACCGAACCGUUCCAGAUGCCCUUCGUGCCCUUCAACACCACGAAGCUGGAUUGCCUUGGAUGCCUGUUUCAACCACAUGGAAAAAUCUUAGGAAAAUCUGCAAUUUGCACAUUUUCGCUAGUAAGAAACUUGACGCUAACCAACACUUGCGGCGAAGCAAAGUAGAACAACUCCUUACUGAUGUUCGUGAUAGUUCCCGACUUGGGGAAGCGAUAGAGAUAUCCACAGCUGUUUUCAAAACUUCGCUUAAUCUUCUUUCCAAUACUGUUUUUUCCAUCGAUUUUGCCGACUCUUCUUC